This 275-nucleotide ribosomal RNA is filed under the name Blastocystis sp. subtype 1. Its description in RNAcentral is "partial 18S ribosomal RNA". It matches the Rfam family "Eukaryotic small subunit ribosomal RNA", at positions 707 to 984 of the family's 1831-position model. Lineage: Eukaryota; Bigyra; Opalinata; Blastocystidae. The record is from RNAcentral.
AUCCAGUAGUGGGUAUUCAGUUACUUACUAUUGUGUGUUGGUCCUUUACUGUGAGAAAAUUAGAGUGUUCAAAGCAGGCGUUUGCUUGAAUAGAUUAGCAUGGAAUAAUAAUUGAAGGCUUUCGUGUUCGAUUUGAUUGGUUUGUUCAUGGAAGCAAGGUUAAAAGGAACAGUUGGGGGUAUUCAUAUUCACUAGUUAGAGGUGAAAUUCUCGGAUUUAUGGAAGAUGAACAAGUGCGAAAGCAUUUACCAAGGAUGUUUUCAUUAAUCAAGAAC